CGAAGUGUCGAGUAUUUGACAUAGGUAUUUAACAUAUUUUGAAGAGUAUGUAGGCAUUGGAUGAGAGAGAGAGAGAGAGAGAGAGAGAGAGAGAGAGAGAGGGUCGUUUAGACAUAGUAGAAACCAUUAACCCCCUUAUUUUGCACUUAAGACCACACCAUGGGGGAGUUACGUGCACCGAUUGCGGUAGGGUUAUGUGUUUUUAGACCAAACUAUAGGAGAAAAUGUAAUUAAUUCUAAUUCUUACUCAUUACAGUAGGGUUAUGUGUCUUUGGACCAAACUAUAGGGGGAAAUGUAAUUAAUUAAAAUUCUUAUUUAUUUUAUCCUUGGGUGAUGGAAAGGCAUAUUAAUUAACACAGAUUCCAUGCCUAAGGAGGGUGAGGAUAGGCGAUGGUGGUUUCAAGAACAAUAUUGGGAUGGGGGAUGCGGUAAAUUCAAACAAUCUGUUGGACAUUUGGGGUAACCAGGGUUGGUUGUCCUUCAUGGGACAGAGUUGGGAUGUGCCAUAGCUGAUUAGUGCGGUCUCUAGUGGUAUGGCUUUCAUGGAAGAGAAGGUGAUAAUGGUGGUAUUAUUCUGAAUUUGGUGGUCUUUUCCUGAAACAACAGUAAUUAAAUACAUGUAAAAUUAUGGAUGUAGUGAUUGUAAUGCUGUCUAUCCAAAAAGUUUGAAUAGAGAGGUCAGUAUAAAUUUGUUCAAGAUCGGCGAGGUCAAUGUAAUGAAGUCAAACCUCAAGAAGUAGCAGCACAAUUUACCGUAUUUCCAACUUUCUAUUACCAAUUGGAUGCAAAUUCAAUAGUUGUUUUGGUUUUAUUUUCAAUGCAAUUGUUUGACUACCAUGUCUCAAGUUUGGUGCCAUUUUAUUCUAUCUUGUACUUCAAGAUUUGAGCAAAGAACUAUGUUUUCAUGUGUCAAUUUAGGUCCUAUGGAAUUUGUUGCUCUUAGAAGUUUUCAAUCGCCCCUGGCUAAUUUUGAAUCUGAUUAAAUGGCACAAGUUUUUCUUGGAAUAAUUUCUGAUAACACUACAGUUGAAGUAUACCGACUGUUACUUCCUUGUAACAUUUUAGCAGACCAAGUUCAGGUGGAUUGGUGAUGUAGCAUGGUCUUCAUGAUAAUUUUGUCAAAACCUGUGGUUAUAUGAUAUGAUGAUAUGUAGAUAGUAAAGACAAGGAAGAGCAAGGAGAGAUCAUGGUAAGAAGAUAUAGAAGGAGAUAAAGAAGGGAGGGAGAAACCAAGAAAGAGAGGGAGAGCAGGUAAUGGGUUAUGAAACUAAUGUUUCUAUUGAGGACAUAGAGCAGCUUUUGAAUUUCAUUGGUGUGACGAGUUUAGGCCCACGCCAUGUACUGGCUAACUUGAAAGAGCUUCUAAGGACCAUCCUUUCUCCAGAAUAUAAAGAUACGUUGUUAUGAGCUUUCAAUCUUCAAUUGUAUGUUUUUGUAAAUGGAUUAUUUGUGUGUUCUUACACAGGUGCAAAUUUUUUUGAUGGAGCACCAUGCCAUAUAUAUACACCACCCUUGUAAUUUGUUAUUUUAGAGCAAUGCAAUGCUUAAUUUGUAAUUUGUCA
This is a non-coding RNA of Camellia sinensis, 1563 nucleotides long. NCBI's taxonomy places the organism in Eukaryota, Viridiplantae, Streptophyta, Magnoliopsida, Ericales, Theaceae. The record is from RefSeq and is a predicted model, not a curated record.